RNAcentral lists this ribosomal RNA (433 nucleotides) under uncultured bacterium. RNAcentral describes it as "partial 16S ribosomal RNA". It matches the Rfam family "Bacterial small subunit ribosomal RNA", at positions 29 to 507 of the family's 1533-position model. The record is from RNAcentral.
AACGAACGCUGGCGGCAUGCCUAACACAUGCAAGUCGAACGAGACCUUCGGGUCUAGUGGCGCACGGGUGCGUAACGCGUGGUAACCUGCCCUUAGGUUCGGAAUAACUCCCCGAAAGGUGUGCUAAUACCGGUUAAUGUCUUCGGACCAAAGAUUUAUCGCCUUUGGAUGGGCCCGCGUUAGAUUAGCUAGUUGGUAGGGUAAAAGCCUACCAAGGCGACGAUCCAUAGCUGGUCUGAGAGGAUGAUCAGCCAGGCUGGGACUGAGACACGGCCCAGACUCGUACGGGAGGCAGCAGUGGGGAAUAUUGGACGAUGGGCGAAAGUCUGACAAAGCAAUGCCGCGUGAGUGAUGAAGGCCUUAGGGUUGUAAAGCUCUUUUACCCGGGAUGAUAAUGACAGUAACGGGAGAAUAAGCUCCGGCUAACUCCGUG